CGCCCCCUGCGGUGUGCGUGAUUGCUCCAGUUAUCCUCUGAACCUAUAAGUGCUUUUAACGGGAGCCAGAUUGUAGAUGCUGUUGUGCAUGUCCGCCUCGUUGCGGAAAGCCUGAUGCAUCUCUGAGGCACCCACUUGAACCUCACGGUUCAAGGCUACGGAGCAACACGGCAUCUGCGGAGGGCGU
RNAcentral lists this non-coding RNA (187 nucleotides) under Sulfuricaulis sp. RNAcentral describes it as "6S RNA". It matches the Rfam family "6S / SsrS RNA". From Rfam's summary of the family: E. coli 6S RNA was the first non coding RNA to be sequenced, but its function was unknown until recently. It consists of 184 nucleotides that fold into an extended hairpin structure with a large single-stranded internal bulge. Lineage: Bacteria; Pseudomonadati; Pseudomonadota; Gammaproteobacteria; Acidiferrobacterales; Acidiferrobacteraceae. The record is from RNAcentral.